AUUUAUUACACUACAGGCUCCAUCAUCUUCUUAGUUUCCUGGAAUCAAAACUAAAGUUACAUUUUUUGAAAGCAUGCAGUUUAUUAAUCACAGGUAUGAUCAUGAUUACUGUCAUCAAAAGUGGUGGACAAUCAUGAAUUAAUGGUGAAAUA
Molecule: long non-coding RNA, 152 nt
Organism: Maniola jurtina (meadow brown)
Lineage: Eukaryota; Metazoa; Arthropoda; Insecta; Lepidoptera; Nymphalidae
Exons: 3
Source: RefSeq, a predicted model, not a curated record